This 497-nucleotide ribosomal RNA is filed under the name uncultured bacterium. RNAcentral describes it as "partial 16S ribosomal RNA". It matches the Rfam family "Bacterial small subunit ribosomal RNA", at positions 28 to 507 of the family's 1533-position model. The record is from RNAcentral.
GAUGAACGCUGGCGGCGUGCCUAAUACAUGCAAGUCGAGCGAACAGACGAGGAGCUUGCUCCUCUGAUGUUAGCGGCGGACGGGUGAGUAACACGUGGAUAACCUACCUAUAAGACUGGGAUAACUUCGGGAAACCGGAGCUAAUGCCGGAUAACAUGUUGAACCGCAUGGUUCAACAGUGAAAGACGGUCUUGCUGUCACUUAUAGAUGGAUCCGCGCCGCAUUAGCUAGUUGGUAAGGUAACGGCUUACCAAGGCAACGAUGCGUAGCCGACCUGAGAGGGUGAUCGGCCACACUGGAACUGAGACACGGUCCAGACUCCUACGGGAGGCAGCAGUAGGGAAUCUUCCGCAAUGGGCGAAAGCCUGACGGAGCAACGCCGCGUGAGUGAAGAAGGUCUUCGGAUCGUAAAACUCUGUUAUUAGGGAAGAACAAAUGUGUAAGUAACUAUGCACGUCUUGACGGUACCUAAUCAGAAAGCCACGGCUAACUACGUG